RNAcentral lists this ribosomal RNA (440 nucleotides) under uncultured bacterium. RNAcentral describes it as "partial 16S ribosomal RNA". It matches the Rfam family "Bacterial small subunit ribosomal RNA", at positions 338 to 795 of the family's 1533-position model. The record is from RNAcentral.
CCUACGGGAGGCAGCAGUGGGGGAUAUUGCACAAUGGGGGAAACCCUGAUGCAGCGACGCCGCGUGGGUGAAGAAGCGCCUCGGCGCGUAAAGCCCUGUCAGCAGGGAAGAAAAUGACGGUACCUGAAGAAGAAGCCCCGGCUAACUACGUGCCAGCAGCCGCGGUAAUACGUAGGGGGCAGGCGUUAUCCGGAUUUACUGGGUGUAAAGGGGGCGCAGACGGCGAUGCAAGCCAGGAGUGAAAGCCCGGGGCCCAACCCCGGGACUGCUCUUGGAACUGCGUGGCUAGAGUGCAGGAGGGGCAGGCGGAAUUCGUGGUGUAGCGGUGAAAUGCGUAGAUAUCAGGAGGAACACCGGUAGCGAAGGCGGCCUGCUGGACUGCAACUGACGUUGAGGCCCGAAAGCGUGGGGAGCAAACAGGAUUAGAUACCCCGGUAGUC